GGAAAAGGGGAGAUGCAACAAGACCUGGGUGUCAUGGUACAGCAGGCAGUGAAGAAAGCUAAUGGCAUUUUCGCCUUCAUUGUGAGAGGAUUUGAGUUUUGGAGGAAGGUGGUCCCACUGCAGUUGUACAGGGUCUUGGUGAGACCACACCUGGAGUAUU
This is a long non-coding RNA of Amblyraja radiata (thorny skate), 160 nucleotides long. RefSeq lists it as uncharacterized. The record is from RefSeq and is a predicted model, not a curated record. Lineage: Eukaryota; Metazoa; Chordata; Chondrichthyes; Rajiformes; Rajidae. The transcript has 3 exons.